UAUGAUGAGAGAGAGUAUUGUAGGAGUGAGAGAUAGGGGGAAAGUCACGGUGUAGUUUUCGGGCUAAAGUCAUUGAAUUCAGUGGCGGAGCCAGCGCCCGGCUACCUAGGGCAGCUGCCCGGGCUCGACCGUCUCGAAUCACUUCCAUGGAACUCUUCUCUCCCUCAACACGAUGAACAAGAUGACAACUCUUUUUCACUCUUCACUGGCUCCAAUGAACUCAAAGGAGUUUUGCAACUUGCACACUAAGUGUUUGGAAAGAAAGAAGUAUUGAAGCAAGCUCUUUUAUUCUGGAGUAAUAUCUGCCAUGAGAUAAUGUCGAGAUUUUGAAGCAAGCUCUUUUAAACAACAAAUUUGGUCCGUGAAAUUACUCCAAGAAGAAAGUUAAUGCAUUUAGAGACCAAGAAAACUUAGGACUAUAGUGACAGAGUAUUAGAGUGAAAGUGAUAGUGAAAAAAUGAUUUCAUAUGGAAGUGGAAUUUUUAAAAGGAAAUGAUUGUCAUUUGAAACAUUUGAAGGAAAUGAUUUGUUGCUGCUAGCAAGGAAAGUACCUUUAAAACCUAUGAAUGAAGUGAUUUAUUAAUGUUGGAGUGGUGGGUCUUUAGACUUUUGAUUUGCAGUUUGCAAUGAAAAUAAAGCUAAUCUUUUAAAAUUAUUUUAUCGUUCGGUUUUAUAGGUUAGAGCUGCAGAGCUAAGGAAAAUAUUGGUGGAACUUGGGCCAGUAUGUCAUAUUGCUUAUUUUAUAAUUGUCGAAAGUUUAUUUUUUUAAGAUACCCUGUCGUUGAACCAGGUGCUUUCAUGAUUGACUAAUGGUAGUUUGUAGAGUCAUUGAUGUUAAUUUCAUAUCAGAUAUGUCAUAAAAUGGAUUGCUAAAUUUUGUAGAGUUAAAUUUUUUGCUAGUUUGUUGGGGUUUGUCGUGACUCAUGUCAUAGUAUUUUUGUUCUAAUAAAUUUGUUGGGUUUGUCAUAUGAGUUGUAACAUACUAACAUCUAAUAGGAGCCAAAAUUUCAUAAAUGAGUUUUGAAUUUAAAGUAGCAAGCCAGCUUAAAAAUAUUUUCACUCGCAUGUUGAAGAGAUAACAAAUUGAAUCUCACCAUAUUUGCUUCCCUUUUACGGUCUUCUAUCUUUAAUUUUUUUUGGUCUCGUUAUAGUUUAUCUUAUUUCUAGCUUGUUGAAUAGCUGGGGACAUGG
Molecule: long non-coding RNA, 1191 nt
Organism: Vicia villosa (hairy vetch)
Lineage: Eukaryota; Viridiplantae; Streptophyta; Magnoliopsida; Fabales; Fabaceae
Exons: 4
Source: RefSeq, a predicted model, not a curated record